GACGAACGCUGGCGGCGUGCUUAACACAUGCAAGUCGAACGGAAAGGCCCUGCUUUUGUGGGGUGCUCGAGUGGCGAACGGGUGAGUAACACGUGAGUAACCUGCCCUUGACUUUGGGAUAACUUCAGGAAACUGGGGCUAAUACCGGAUAGGAGCUCCUGCUGCAUGGUGGGGGUUGGAAAGUUUCGGCGGUUGGGGAUGGACUCGCGGCUUAUCAGCUUGUUGGUGGGGUAGUGGCUUACCAAGGCUUUGACGGGUAGCCGGCCUGAGAGGGUGACCGGCGACAUUGGGACUGAGAUACGGCCCAGACUCCUACGGGAGGCAGCAGUGGGGAAUAUUGCACAGUGGGCGGAAGCCUGAUGCAGCAGCGCCGCGUGCGGGAUGACGGCCUUCGGGUUGUAAACCGCUUUCGCCUGUGACGAAGCGUGAGUGACGGUAAUGGAUAAAGAAGCACCGGCUAACUACGUG
This 468-nucleotide ribosomal RNA is filed under the name uncultured bacterium. RNAcentral describes it as "partial 16S ribosomal RNA". It matches the Rfam family "Bacterial small subunit ribosomal RNA", at positions 28 to 507 of the family's 1533-position model. The record is from RNAcentral.